UUUGAUCCUGGCUCAGGAUGAACGCUGGCGGCGUGCUUAACACAUGCAAGUCGAACGGGCUCAUAUUGAAACCUAGUGAUUUAUGAGUUAGUGGCGGACGGGUGAGUAACGCGUGGAAAACCUGCCGUAUACUGGGGGAUAACACUUAGAAAUAGGUGCUAAUACCGCAUAAGCGCACAGCUUCGCAUGAAGUGGUGUGAAAAACUCUGGUGGUAUACGAUGGUUCCGCGUCUGAUUAGCUUGUUGGUGGGGUAAUGGCUCACCAAGGCGACGAUCAGUAGCCGGCCUGAGAGGGUGAACGGACACAUUGGGACUGAGACACGGCCCAAACUCCUACGGGAGGCAGCAGUGGGGAAUAUUGCACAAUGGGGGAAACCCUGAUGCAGCGACGCCGCGUGAGUGAAGAAGUAUUUCGGUAUGUAAAGCUCUAUCAGCAGGGAAGAAAUAGCGACCUUUGGGUCGCCAGACGGUACCUGAUUAAGAAGCCCCGGCUAACUACGUG
This 502-nucleotide ribosomal RNA is filed under the name uncultured Lachnospiraceae bacterium. Its description in RNAcentral is "bacterial SSU rRNA". It matches the Rfam family "Bacterial small subunit ribosomal RNA", at positions 12 to 507 of the family's 1533-position model. Lineage: Bacteria; Bacillati; Bacillota; Clostridia; Lachnospirales; Lachnospiraceae. The record is from RNAcentral.